GAUGAACGCUGGCGGCGUGCCUAAUACAUGCAAGUCGAGCGAACGGACGAGAAGCUUGCUUUUCUGAUGUUAGCGGCGGACGGGUGAGUAACACGUGGAUAACCUACCUAUAAGACUGGGAUAACUUCGGGAAACCGGAGCUAAUACCGGAUAAUAUUUUGAACCGCAUGGUUCAAAAGUGAAAGACGGUCUUGCUGCCACUUAUAGAUGGAUCCGCGCUGCAUUAGCUAGUUGGUAAGGUAACGGCUUACCAAGGCAACGAUGCAUAGCCGACCUGAGAGGGUGAUCGGCCACACUGGAACUGAGACACGGUCCAGACUCCUACGGGAGGCAGCAGUAGGGAAUCUUCCGCAAUGGGCGAAGGCCUGACGGAGCAACGCCGCGUGAGUGAUGAAGGUCUUCGGAUCGUAAAACUCUGUUAUUAGGGAAGAACAUAUGUGUAAGUAACUGUGCACAUCUUGACGGUACCUAAUCAGAAAGCCACGGCUAACUACGUG
Molecule: ribosomal RNA, 497 nt
Filed under: uncultured bacterium
Lineage: Bacteria
Description: partial 16S ribosomal RNA
Rfam family: Bacterial small subunit ribosomal RNA
Source: RNAcentral